GAUGAACGCUAGCGAUAGGCUUAACACAUGCAAGUCGAGGGGCAGCACAAGGUAGCUUGCUAUCUGGGUGGCGACCGGCGCACGGGUGCGUAACGCGUAUGCAACUUGCCCUAUACAGGAGGAUAACCCGUCGAAAGACGGACUAAUACUGCGUAUGCUCACAACUUGGCAUCAAGUGGUGAGGAAAGAAAUUCGGUAUAGGAUAGGCAUGCGUCCCAUUAGCUUGUUGGUGAGGUAACGGCUCACCAAGGCAACGAUGGGUAGGGGAACUGAGGGGUUUAGCCCCCAGAGUGGUACUGGGAAACGGACCAGACUCCUACGGGAGGCAGCAGUGAGGAAGAUUGGUGAAUGGGCGCGAGCCUGAACCAGCCAAGUCGCGUGAAGGAAGACUGUCUUAUGGAUUGUAAACUUCUUUUAUACGGGAAUAACAAGAGUCACGGGUGACUCCCUGCAUGUACCGGAUGAAUAAGCAUCGGCUAACUCCGUG
Molecule: ribosomal RNA, 487 nt
Filed under: uncultured bacterium
Lineage: Bacteria
Description: partial 16S ribosomal RNA
Rfam family: Bacterial small subunit ribosomal RNA
Source: RNAcentral